AUUGAACGCUGGCGGCAGGCCUAACACAUGCAAGUCGAACGGUAACAGGAAGCAGCUUGCUGCUUUGCUGACGAGUGGCGGACGGGUGAGUAAUGUCUGGGAAACUGCCCGAUGGAGGGGGAUAACUACUGGAAGCGGUAGCUAAUACCGCAUAACGUCGCAAGACCAAAGAGGGGGACCUUAGGGCCUCUUGCCAUCGGAUGUGCGCAGAUGGGAUUAGCUAGUAGGUGGGGUAACGGCUCACCUAGGCGACGAUCCCUAGCUGGUCUGAGAGGAUGACCAGACACACUGGAAGUGAGACACGGUCCAGACUCCUACGGGAGGAAGCAGUGGGGAAUAUUGCACGAUGGGCGAAAGCCUGAUGCAGCCAUGCCGCGUGUAUGAAGAAGGCCUUCGGGUUGUAAAGUAAUUUCAGCGGGGAGGAAGGGAGUAAAGUUAAUACCUUUGCUCAUUGACGUUACCCGCAGAAGAAGCACCGGCUAACUCCGUG
RNAcentral lists this ribosomal RNA (490 nucleotides) under uncultured bacterium. RNAcentral describes it as "partial 16S ribosomal RNA". It matches the Rfam family "Bacterial small subunit ribosomal RNA", at positions 30 to 507 of the family's 1533-position model. The record is from RNAcentral.